CUUGGCUCUGCCCCCGCCGUGGCUGUGCAGACUCGCUCCACGUGGUCCUGGGGAAUGUUCACCCUGAAGCGGGGACUGCAGACGACGCCCCUGCCGCGCCGCAAGGCCCAGAGUGUAACCACCAGAUGGCCGAAGUGAUCCAACCAGGGAAGUACAUGAGGGUCCUGAAAGAGAACCAGAGCAUUCCCAAGGCACGGCCAGGAAUUAAGGAUGUCACCUUAAUGUCUGCAAGCAAUGGGCACUCCAACGUUCAAAGAGUUCAGAAAUUUAAAAUUAUUUUUUGUAGUAUUUCAUACAAUACUACAUGAUGUCACUCUUCUGUGGGACUCCAUUCAUUGGCUCCCUGUAGGCUUUUUUAAGUAAACAUUUUAUUUUAGAACAGUUUUAGAUAUACAGAAUUAUUAUGAAGACCUACAUACCACAUAGCCAAUUUUUCCUUACUAACAUCUUAUAUCAGGGUGGCACAUUUGUCACAAUGAAUGAGCCAAUAUGGAUCCAUUUUUAUUAACUAAAGUUCACUUCAUUCAGACUUCCUUAGUUUUCACUGGAUGUCCUUUUCCUGGUCCAGGAUCCCAUCCAGGACACCGCGUUACAUUGGUUGUCAUGGCUUCUUAAGCUCCUCUUGUUUGGGACAGUUUCUGAGACUUCUGUUGUAUUUUAAGACCUCGACAGUUUUGAGGAUCAGUGGUCAGGUAUUUUGUAGACUGUCCCUCAAUUGGGACUUGUCUGAUAUUUUCUCAUGAUUUGACUGAGGUGACGUGCUCCUGGGAAGAUGACCCUUUAUGCUAGAGCGCCAUUCUCCUCACAUCGCAUCAACAGUACAUAUUUUCAAUAUGACUUCUCACUGUUGGUGUUAACCCUGGUCUCUUGGCUGCUCCACUGUAAAUUCACUCCUUUUUUUCUCCUUUUCAUACUCUAGCCAUGGACAGCCCACAUUUAAAGAGAGGGAGUUAUGCUCUACUUCCUCAGAGGUGAAGCGUUUACAUAAAUUAUUUUUAAUUUCUUCUGCACAAGAUGUUUUCCUAUUCUCUACUUAUUCAAUCAUUUGUUUAUAUCGAUUUGGACUUAUUUAUUUUAUACUUUGGCUUAUAAUCCAACACUACUUUAUCUUGUUGCUCAAAUUGUUCCAACUUUGACCAUUGGGAGAUCUUUCCGUCGGCUACUAUGUCCAUUGACAUCAUUGCUGGUUUUUGUGCAUUUGAUUUGUUCUGUUUCCAAGCACUUUCUGGCACUAUAAGAUGCUACAUUUUGUAUAUAUCUUGCCCCAACCCUAGGAUCAGUCAUUUUUCCAAAGAGUCCUAGUUCCUUUCAUUGGAGAAGGGUAUUAGAAACCAAGAUCUGGGUGCUAGAUGUGCUCAUUGCUAUUGGGGUGUUGUUGCUUCCAGGCCUUCUCAGCUGACAGAGCAAGGAGAUACAUGUGUGUAUAUAUGCAUACGCAUACACAGUCAAUUUGCAUGCCUUUGCACAUGCCAGUCCUUCUAUCUGGAAUAUCUUUCCUUCCCUUCUUCCAAGCAGAAUGUGCUUCUCUUUCUUUUUGCUCCAGGAGCACUGGGAACACACUUCUUGGUGUUACCCGUCACAUCACAGUGCAAUUACUAGUACACCAGGCUUUCUCUCAUCCUAGAGUAUGAGUUUCUCAAUGGGAAAGGGCAGGUCUUCUCUAUCUUCAACAACCCUCGGAGAGAAACUAAGAUGGCGGCAUAGAUAAACACCGGGAAAUUGCUGCUUCCCACAACAAUCGAUAAAUGCAUCAAAAACACAAGGUGGACAUCAUCCAGAACUACAGGAGGGCUG
This is a long non-coding RNA of Myotis myotis, 1794 nucleotides long. RefSeq lists it as uncharacterized. NCBI's taxonomy places the organism in Eukaryota, Metazoa, Chordata, Mammalia, Chiroptera, Vespertilionidae. The transcript is spliced from 3 exons. The record is from RefSeq and is a predicted model, not a curated record.